RNAcentral lists this long non-coding RNA (235 nucleotides) under Carica papaya (papaya). Its description in RNAcentral is "long non-coding RNA (CPAP_LNC014108)". The record is from RNAcentral. Lineage: Eukaryota; Viridiplantae; Streptophyta; Magnoliopsida; Brassicales; Caricaceae.
CGGAAUUAUGAACCAAAUUAUUACAUUCCAAUUACUAACUAAUACCCCUCAAGGAAAAACCUGAAUUGGGUCCCAAAUUGACAGGUUAGAGUGAGGUGAGCUUAUCCACGCAAUUAUACACUCUUCAAAUAAGAAUUCAUUUUAUGAAAGAUAAUGGCUUUCACACUUUGACAGCUCCUCUUUAUCCAAGAAACCAGACAAAGAGAAGAAAUGCGAGGGUUUAAUUGGACGACUU